RNAcentral lists this ribosomal RNA (253 nucleotides) under uncultured bacterium. RNAcentral's name for it is "partial 16S ribosomal RNA". It matches the Rfam family "Bacterial small subunit ribosomal RNA", at positions 524 to 776 of the family's 1533-position model. The record is from RNAcentral.
CACGUAGGGCGCAAGCGUUGUCCGGAAUUACUGGGCGUAAAGAGCUCGUAGGUGGUUUGUCGCGUUGUCCGUGAAAACUCACAGCUUAACUGUGGGCGUGCGGGCGAUACGGGCAGACUGGAGUACUGCAGGGGAGACUGGAAUUCCUGGUGUAGCGGUGGAAUGCGCAGAUAUCAGGAGGAACACCGGUGGCGAAGGCGGGUCUCUGGGCAGUAACUGACGCUGAGGAGCGAAAGCGUGGGGAGCGAACAGG